Non-coding RNA from Trichobilharzia regenti, 45 nucleotides. NCBI's taxonomy places the organism in Eukaryota, Metazoa, Platyhelminthes, Trematoda, Strigeidida, Schistosomatidae. The record is from Rfam.
AUCCAGAUGAAUAGUCCAAAAUAGGACGAAAUACGCGUCCUGGAU